GAAUUCGCCCUUAGAGUUUGAUCCUGGCUCAGGACGAACGCUGGCGGCGUGCCUAACACAUGCAAGUCGAGCGAAGUAUCUAUAACGGAAUCCUUCGGGAUGAAGAUAUAGAUAUCUUAGCGGCGGACGGGUGAGUAACGCGUGAGAAACCUGCCUUUUACAAAGGGAUAGCCUCUGGAAACGGGGAUUAAUACCUUAUGAUACUUUUACUCCCCAUGGAGAAAAAGUCAAAGCGUAAAGCGGUAAAAGAUGGUCUCGCGUCCCAUUAGCUAGUUGGUGAGAUAAAAGCUCACCAAGGCAAUGAUGGGUAGCCGGCCUGAGAGGGUGAACGGCCACACUGGAACUGAGACACGGUCCAGACUCCUACGGGAGGCAGCAGUGGGGAAUAUUGCACAAUGGAGGAAACUCUGAUGCAGCGACGUCGCGUGAACGAUGAAGGCUUUCGGGUCGUAAGGUUUUGUCCUUGGGGAAGAUAAUGACGGUACCCAAGGAGGAAGCCCCGGCUAACUACGUGCCAGCAGCCGCGGUAAUACGUAGGGGGCGAGCGUUGUCCGGAUUUAUUGGGCGUAAAGGGUUCGCAGGUGGCCUUUUAAGUCAGAUGUGAAAGAUCACAGCUCAACUGUGGUAAGCAUUUGAAACUGAAAGGCUUGAGUUAAGGAGAGGAAAGUGGAAUUCCUAGUGUAGCGGUGAAAUGCGUAGAUAUUAGGAGGAAUACCAGUGGCGAAGGCGACUUUCUGGACUUAUACUGACACUGAGGAACGAAAGCGUGGGGAGCAAACAAGGAUUAGAUACCCUGGUAGUCCGCGCCGUAAACGAUGAGUGCUAGGUGUCGGGUGGUCAAGCCUCGGUGCCGCAGCUAAAGCAUUAAGC
Molecule: ribosomal RNA, 870 nt
Filed under: uncultured bacterium
Lineage: Bacteria
Description: bacterial SSU rRNA
Rfam family: Bacterial small subunit ribosomal RNA
Source: RNAcentral